Long non-coding RNA from Anthonomus grandis grandis, 687 nucleotides. RefSeq lists it as uncharacterized. Lineage: Eukaryota; Metazoa; Arthropoda; Insecta; Coleoptera; Curculionidae. The record is from RefSeq and is a predicted model, not a curated record. The transcript has 2 exons.
UCAUCCACUGCGCGCUACCGUCGGCGUCACGUCCUAUGAAAAUUAAUCAAUAAAUUAAUGCUUUAGUUUUUUUUGAGUAGAUGGCGGUCGCAUCAUCAGUGAUUCACAGAAUUGUUUAUCCUUCAGUACUUCAGUCGAGUUCUGCUUUUGCUUUUUGACCUAAACCUAAAUUAAAACGGCCCUUACUUAAAAUUGUGUGCAAAUUUGCUCCAGAUUACAGCUAUUUUGUGUGUUCUGUGGAUUACAGUAGUACAAAUAAGUAGUAAAGUUUAGUGGUGAAAUUAGAGCCCUAUAGAGAUCUGCGAUUUUUCAGGAGUUGGCUUGGAACAAGUGGCGCUAUUCAAGGGACCACGAUCACCGGAUCUCUCAGUUUUGGAUUUAUUUUGUGGGGGUAUUUAAGAAAUAAAAUAUAUUCAAGGGAAUAUGCCAACAUGCAACAAUUAAAAAUCCUAAAGUAAAAUGAUUUUGCAGAACUGCAAAGUUAAUAAUUUAUUUUGGAAAAUGCUUUAAAAAAAUUAUAUAUAAACUUUAUGAAACUUGUAGGAGACAUAUUGGUCUGCAUUUUGACUAAUACUUGUGAUUGUUUUAAAAUUAGUUUGCUAUAAAAUUGUUGAACUUUUUUCUAUAUUGUAUUUUUAUAUUUAUAUAUUUUUUUGUUAUAAUGUUAAUAAAUUUACUAAACAAGUG